RNAcentral lists this ribosomal RNA (468 nucleotides) under uncultured bacterium. RNAcentral's name for it is "partial 16S ribosomal RNA". It matches the Rfam family "Bacterial small subunit ribosomal RNA", at positions 28 to 507 of the family's 1533-position model. The record is from RNAcentral.
GACGAACGCUGGCGGCGUGCUUAACACAUGCAAGUCGAACGGAAAGGCCCUGCUUUUGUGGGGUGCUCGAGUGGCGAACGGGUGAGUAACACGUGAGUAACCUGCCCUUGACUUUGGGAUAACUUCAGGAAACUGGGGCUAAUACCGGAUAGGAGCUCCUGCUGCAUGGUGGGGGUUGGAAAGUUUCGGCGGUUGGGGAUGGACUCGCGGCUUAUCAGCUUGUUGGUGGGGUAGUGGCUUACCAAGGCUUUGACGGGUAGCCGGCCUGAGAGGGUGACCGGCCACAUUGGGACUGAGAUACGGCCCAGACUCCUACGGGAGGCAGCAGAGGGGAGUAUUGCACAAUGGGCGGAAGCCUGAUGCAGCAACGCCGCGUGCGGGAUGACGGCCUUCGGGUUGUAAACCGCUUUCGCCUGUGACGAAGCGUGAGUGACGGUAAUGGGUAAAGAAGCACCGGCUAACUACGUG